Molecule: microRNA precursor, 81 nt
Organism: Dipodomys ordii (Ord's kangaroo rat)
Lineage: Eukaryota; Metazoa; Chordata; Mammalia; Rodentia; Heteromyidae
Source: Ensembl
GUUUAUUUUGGGCGUGUUUGCUGUACAAUUGGACUUGAUGAAAUGUUUAGAGGUGAAGUAGGCAUGACUUUGAAUAGAUAA